Long non-coding RNA from Lolium perenne, 3180 nucleotides. RefSeq lists it as uncharacterized. Lineage: Eukaryota; Viridiplantae; Streptophyta; Magnoliopsida; Poales; Poaceae. The record is from RefSeq and is a predicted model, not a curated record.
GACCGACGCAAACGGACGCGCGCGGACGCUAAAAUGCGUCGCGCCGCUGGAGAUGCCCUAAUAAACCGGUACGGAAGGAGUCCAUGAUUAUAGAAUUUUGAUAUCCAGAUUAGUGCUCAAUUGGAUACUAUUAUCAAUAAAACAGUAGCAUUUUGAAAUUAAAAUUUAAAGGCAAAUAGAUUCUAAAAUUUUGAAAUUGUAUGUACCAUGAUGUUUUUUUGGGAAAUCCGUAAGAUAACCCCAAGAACACACCCACUUCAUCGUUCCCCACUCUCAAGCUUCUCUCUUCACUGUCACUCACGGUGGCACGGCAAGCACAGACCUUCCAGGCCUCCCCGCCGCCAGCAAGAAUACCAUCCCCUCCCUUCGCUGGUGCGGCGAAGACCUCCUCAUCCCCUGCCUCUUGGCUUUUCCCAUGGAAAUCGCUCACUUCCCAACCUACCAACCGAUGCAUCGACGACCGCCCCUCCCCCUGCCACCCCGCCGACGGAGGUGGAGGCGUGGAACUCGUCUCCACUGGAACCUAGGCAUCUAUCACCGCGCGCGCCAUGGAGGGCUCCGCUGCUGCUUCCAGAGUGGAUGGUCGAUCCCCUCGCCACUUUGCCUGGAGAUAGAGGAGGCAAUCUUUCGGGCCAUGGCCCGAGUGGGCGCCGUUCUGGCCCGGGAACUCCUACUCUGUGCCAUCCCAGCCCGCUGGCGCCGACCUGAGCAUCCUCGAGGUCGGCGCGGAGGGAUUGGGGUGCUGCCAUCCCACGGGUUCGUCGGCAACAAGGAGCGACGCCGGUCCGCCCACGCUCCUGCAAUAAGGAGCGCCGCUGCGACCACCGAUGGGUACCCCUGCUCGGCAUACUUCGUCGACAGAGGCAAGCCAGAUGCUUUUGGGGCUAAAUCGAGCACGCCCUCUUGGGGCCAUUUCACUGCCCGGGGCCACAACACCUCUUGCAGAAGCGCACAACUUUACAAGUAAACUGCAUUUAUUAUAACUUGCAGUAUAGAUUGUGAACUGGUCGUGUAACCUGUGAAUAUCUUAUUCUUCGAAAACCAGCAGCCCCUGAACAAGUAUAACUCGCCGAUCCGCAGCUCGUCUUGAAAUGAUAUGUUUGAUUCCCAUAUGCUACCGCUUUCCAUUUUUCCCCUGUCAAAAUAGCAAGGUUUAGCUAUCCAAGCUGAAUGUCAUGUGUUCCUAUAUUGCUUAGUUUAUGCGAUCAAAUAUAAAAGAUAACAUCGAAGCAUUAUUUUUCCCAUCUCACAGAACUUUUAAAUGGUCCUCACAGACAGGUCGCUGAGUAAGCCACGGUAGAUCAUUUAUCCAUUUCUGGCAACGUUGCUAUAAUAAAAGAGAUAUAUGAGGAAAAUGAUUAUCCAUGAUUAGAAUUUUAGACAUAGCAACCAAACAUUAGUUCAAACUUCUUACAGUCAGCUUGAAGCCUAACUAUUAUUUAGUUGCUCAUGUCUUCAGCAGAACGUACACACAGACCUGAUAUAUCAAGCGAUUUGACUAAUUUUAGACAUGGGAACCAAGCAAUAGUUCCUACGUAGUGACUAAUUUAUUGAUGAUCGAAUCGCGGCGUCUGGGUGGUGCCGUAGCAGCGACAGGCGCGGACGAUCAUGUGAACAUGGCGUGUACCUGCAGUGUACCAGUGGAUUCGGGUGGCCAGGCGGCGCAGCGACACAUGUGUGGCAGUGUGGCCUGCUCCUGCUGGGCGAAGUAUAGGAUCUGGAUUUAGAGGUGCCUUGAUCGCAUUUGACUGCGGUUUUUCUUUCGAUAUGGAUUUGAAGCCGCGCGAUUGAAGGCGUGACGACUGCGGGGUGCGAGAAUUGUAUUGAGUCUUGCUGAUGAUGCUGAUCAUAGACUGACAGUUCGAACUUAAAUUUCAUUAUCCAUACUUAUUUUGUUCUUUUAGGAUUUUUAUAGCCGAUGGCUGUAUGGCUAGGUAGUUAUUUUAAAUUUUCCACAAAAUGAUCAUUUUACCUCCAUUUAAACGUUUGAACAAGUUCAUCUUUUAGUUGUAUACUGUGAAGUCAUGUAUUUCUUUUUUUUUUUUCGAGGGUGAUCAUGUAUUUCUUUCUGGACAUGGAUCUGUCAAGAAGAUUUAAGAAAACUCACCUGUGCAGUAGUAUAGGAUAGGUGCAUCACUCAUUUUUAAUGUUGGUUGAAUGGACUGUUAAAUGCCUUAAGCAUUUUGCAUUAACUAUAUAUUCCCCACCAACCUCCCAGCAUUGCCAGACCUUUUGUUUUUCCUAAUCUGAGGAUUUGAGUUAGAUACUAUUUGAGAAGGGGUAUACUUAUUCUGAAAAGGGAUGUUCGGUGCUGAUAAAGGAUUUUUCUCUCUCGGAGUACAUACACUCAAUGGCUUGUUUCAAGCAGAUAAGAUGUAUCCAUGCUUUGUUUAUUGAGGUUGUGUAUUGGCAAUGAGAUAGAUGCUAUUGGACAAGGGAUAUAAUUAGAUUUUUACCACUUGUGCAGGUUUGCUAGAUACAUCAUAACCUACAAAGAUUUGGUCAUGCCAUAACAUUGUGGCUGCAAUGCAGUCUCAAACUAUGGCUCUCCACUCCCCAUUACUUAGGAUGAUCUUAACCCAAGAAGAAAAUGGUUGGUCUGAUUGAUAUAUACAAUUCCACUCAUUUACUUGAAUGUGACUGUGCACUGGGCUCUUAGAUGCAGAAAGAAAAGGAGGACCAUGGGUGUAGGGAAUCCUUGCUGCUAUAUUAAGGUAUGGAAAGAGCUGAAGCAAAACAGCAAAUCAGAAAAGUUAUCAGAAAAGAAGAAGUUACAAGGGGGGAUUCCAGGCGAAGCGAGGGUACGACCUUGAUGCCAUUAUAUCCUCUUCGAGCAGACGCGUCCGAAGCUUAGUUGCAUUGGCAUAGUAGUCUGUAGGUUGAAGAUGGUAAAAUUCUGAAGCUUUUAUGAUUGCACCCAAGAAGCAAUUCGCGUCCUUCCAUAUAUGUGGAGAUUACUUCCAAAUAUGCCUCCAGCGUAAUUACUGGCCCGAUUACUCCCAAAUAUACCUGGAGCGUGAUUGCUUCCAAAUUAGAUACUGCUCCCGAUUACUGGAGCGUGAUUGCUCCCGAUUACUGUAUGUGGAGAUUAACUGCCUGAUAUGUGCUUCCAUAUAUGUCCUGCUUUGCCUGAUACUACUGGCCCAUUAUGGCCCAAGUUGGCGUGGUGGGAAUCCCAAA